GCUGUACCCGAUGGCGUCGUCAUGCUUCCGGGCUUUCAUCUUCACCGAGCAGACCGCAUCACGGAGUUGUUGGGGAAAACAGAAGGCGGCGUGAUAUGCUUCUACAUCAAUGAAAAAUGGUGUACGGACGUCACGGAGCUCAGCACACCCUGCAGCCCGCAUUUGGAGUCGUCGUUUUUGAACUGACUUUAAACAGACAGAUCUCCUUUACUCACCAUCUAGUGAGGCGGAGCAAAAUGCUCCACUGACGUCGAGGAAGGUGACAAAAAAGGUAAUGAUGUGCUUGCGGCGGAAGGUCGGUGGAGAGCCGGACGAAGAAGGGACCUGGAGCAAGAUCGGAG
Phyllopteryx taeniolatus (common seadragon) is the source of this 341-nucleotide long non-coding RNA. RefSeq lists it as uncharacterized. The transcript is spliced from 3 exons. NCBI's taxonomy places the organism in Eukaryota, Metazoa, Chordata, Actinopteri, Syngnathiformes, Syngnathidae. The record is from RefSeq and is a predicted model, not a curated record.